CGUGUAGGCGGUCCGUUAAGUUGGUAGUGAAAUCCCAUGGCUCAACCAUGGAAGUGCUGCCAAAACUGGCGGGCUGGAGUGCCGGAGAGGGUGGCGGAAUUCCCAGUGUAGAGGUGAAAUUCGUAGAUAUUGGGAGGAACACCGGUGGCGAAGGCGGCCACCUGGACGGUAACUGACGCUAAGACGCGAAAGCGUGGGGAGCAAACAGGAUUAGAUACCCUGGUAGUCCACGCUGUAAACGAUGAGCACUAGGUGUUGCGGGUAUUGACCCCUGCAGUGCCGACGCUAACGCAUUAAGUGCUCCGCCUGGGGACUACGGCCGCAAGGCUAAA
This 332-nucleotide ribosomal RNA is filed under the name uncultured Anaeromyxobacter sp. RNAcentral describes it as "bacterial SSU rRNA". It matches the Rfam family "Bacterial small subunit ribosomal RNA", at positions 568 to 898 of the family's 1533-position model. Lineage: Bacteria; Pseudomonadati; Myxococcota; Myxococcia; Myxococcales; Anaeromyxobacteraceae. The record is from RNAcentral.